CAGCCUAACAGACCAACUCCAACUAACACAACUCACUUGAUUUAAUUUUUGAAUCAGUGAUUAUUUUACCAGCCAACAGUUAAGUCCAACAACAAAGAGUGUUAUCCAUCCAUCCUCUCUUACCGUCAUAUGAAUUAUUGUUGAAUAUUAGUGAAUGAAAACAUUGUUACCCACGUUGUUCUGAUACAUUUCCAAGAAUUAACAUAUAAACACCGUUUUAAUCGGUUUAUCUCUCGUGUAGUGUGCAGUAGUGAAGCAGGUUUUUUUUACUCUGUGUGUAGUGAUUGAAGAGAGAAUGUUGUUACAUCUUUUGCAUCAUCAUCAACGACAAUAUUCGACUACAUCAUGUGGUCGAAGAAUUACCAUGUGCUACUAUUAUUUCUUGAUUGCAUUCUUAUCACUAUCAACAACACAUGCAAUGGAUAAUUUAAAAGUGGCAUUUGAAUGGAAACAAUUAGAUUUUAAUUAUCCAUCGGUACAAGAUCGUACAGAAGCGAUUGAAAAUGGUGUAUUUAUACCAGAAAAUAAUAUACCGAUGGGUUUAGAAGUUUAUGAAAAUCGAUUGUUUGUAACUGUACCAAGAUGGAAAGAUGGUGUACCUGCAUCCUUGACAUAUAUUCAUUUAAAUGAUACCAGUAAAGAUCCAAAACUAAACCCAUUUCCAAAUUGGUCCGCACAUAAAUUGCCAAAAUCAAUCAACUACAACGAUUCAACAGAUAUUACCGAAGAUCCUCCAGAAAUUGUAUCACCAUUUCGUGUACGCGCCGAUAAAUAUGGACGUUUAUGGGUAUUAGAUACAGGUGUGGCAAAUCUAUUAGGUAACGAUACAGUUGUGUACACUUCAACUCAAUUAUUAAUCUACAAUUUACGUAACGAUAAUUUAUUACGACGAUACGUUUUACCAUCCGAUCAAGUACAUAAAAAUUCAUUUUUCGCUAAUAUUGCUGUGGAAGAUACCGAUUACGAUGAUACCUACGCUUAUUUAGGAGAUUUAUCUUCACCUGGCUUAGUGAUAUACUCGUUUAAAACUGGAACAUCAUGGCGUAUUACCCACCACUAUUUCCAUAUUGAUCCAUUGGCUGGCGAUUUUAAUGUAAAUGGUUUAAAAUUCCAAUGGACUGAUGCAUUAUUUGGUUUAGCACUAAGUGCUCCUGAUACCGAUGGUUUUAGUACAUUAUACUUCCACCCAAUGGCAAGUACAAAUGAAUUUGCUGUUUCAACUCGUAUUUUACGCAAUGAAACUGCUGCCGGUAACAGUUUUCAUGAGUUUAAGCUGUUAGGAAAUCGUGGACCAAAUGGACAAUCAGCUGUAUCGUUUUUGGAUAAAAAUUCAAGUGUACUAUUUUAUUCGUUGGUAAAUUUAAAUGCGGUAGCUUGUUGGCGUACGAGUAACCCUAGUUAUACAAUGGAAUCUCAAGGACGCAUUUUUAUGAGUAACGUGACAAUGGUAUAUGCAAAUGAUAUUAAAGUUGAUAUGUUAGGUAAUUUAUGGGUGUUAUCAAAUCGUUUGCCACAAUUUAUGUACUCAAAACUGAAUCCAGCAGAUGUGAAUUUCCGUGUAUUAACUAAUACGGUCAAGGAUGCUAUCCGUGGAACGGCUUGUGAUAGUAAAUUAAUAGUUCCAAUUAAUAACCGUAAUGCAAUUAUAAAUAACAAUAAUUCGGGUAAUCACUUACUAUCGAUACAUAUUGGCAUAAUUCUUUUAGUAAGUGGAUUGAUUGGUAAAUUAUUCUAGACAUAAUAUUGAAUUUGGCGUCGAUACUAGAAUUUGAAUACCACCUGAAAAAUGCUCGGAACUACAAUGGAAUGAUGAUAUCAUGGUAGCUGUUUUAGUUUAUAUUUUGAUAUUCAAAAUAAUUUUAAGAUAUUCAAUAAACUCAUAUAUUAGCUAGGGAGGCGAUUUUUUAAUCGUUUGUCAGAAGUUGAAAAUAGUUUUCACUAUAAAAAACACGAAUAUUAUAACAAUAAGAGUUUAUCAAUAAUCAUUAGUACAGUAUUCAAACUUUACUUCCUCAACAUUUUACGUUAUAUUUAAAUAUCAAACAUGGCAUUAUAAAAUAUGCAACAAGCAGUGAUUUAGGUAGAAUGGAAAUAACUUGUAAAUAAAGAGUAAAAGCAAAAUUUUGUAAUUUUGUCUGUAAAAAAAUUUAUUUCCAUUUUACUUGAAAACAAACGGAUGGACAAUCGGUCACUCGAUUGUUUAUCUUAUUCAUAUAGUAACUAAUAUGGAAAUCAACAUAUUAUUAUUUCAAGAAUCUGAGUAAUGAUACAAGAUAU
This is an RNA transcript of Chrysoperla carnea, 2277 nucleotides long. It is a transcript of the gene named protein yellow, with no coding region annotated. Lineage: Eukaryota; Metazoa; Arthropoda; Insecta; Neuroptera; Chrysopidae. The transcript has 4 exons. The record is from RefSeq and is a predicted model, not a curated record.